GGGGUCUUGCUCUCCUCCCACUCAGGUUUCCGGAGGCGCUUGUCCUUCCCUGAGGGUGUAGGGGUCGCUCUUUAAGUUCCUUUGAAUCUGGUGUCCUUUGCAGCCGGGGUGACGCUGGCUGGAUUUUGAUCAACCAGAUCACACCUGUACAGGCUCCAGAAAUUUCUGAAAGAAAUCUACUACUCGUGAUACAGCAACCGGGCCCAUGAGAAACCAUCACUACCCUGAACUCUUGCUUCUCUCCAAUGGACUUUCAUUCAAAACAAUCCCUCCCAAUUCCUCCUUUUUCUCUGUAAAAUAACAGUACUCUCUCUUAUUUACUGAAUUUCCCCAUGGUUCACCACAGCCUGCACAUUCUGAAUUCUUUGGCUAUUCCUGAAUAAA
Long non-coding RNA from Equus quagga, 384 nucleotides. RefSeq lists it as uncharacterized. The record is from RefSeq and is a predicted model, not a curated record. The transcript is spliced from 3 exons. NCBI's taxonomy places the organism in Eukaryota, Metazoa, Chordata, Mammalia, Perissodactyla, Equidae.